AUUGAACGCUGGCGGCAUGCCUUACACAUGCAAGUCGAACGCGAAAGGGGGGCAACUCCUGAGUAGAGUGGCGAACGGGUGAGUAAUAUAUCGGAACGUACCCAGUAGUGGGGGAUAGCCCGGCGAAAGCCGGAUUAAUACCGCAUACGACCUACGGGUGAAAGCGGGGGAUCGCAAGACCUCGCGCUAUUGGAGCGGCCGAUAUCGGAUUAGCUAGUUGGUGGGGUAAAAGCCUACCAAGGCUACGAUCCGUAGCAGGUUUGAGAGAACGACCUGCCACACUGGGACUGAGACACGGCCCAGACUCCUACGGGAGGCAGCAGUGGGGAAUUUUGGACAAUGGGCGAAAGCCUGAUCCAGCCAUGCCGCGUGAGUGAAGAAGGCCUUCGGGUUGUAAAGCUCUUUCGGCCGGAACGAAAUCGCACUCGUGAAUAUCGAGUGUGGAUGACGGUACCGGAAGAAGAAGGACCGGCUAACUACGUGCCAGCAGCCGCGGUAAUACGUAGGGUCCGAGCGUUAAUCGGAAUUACUGGGCGUAAAGCGUGCGCAGGCGGUUUUGUAAGCCAGUCGUGAAAUCCCCGGGCUUAACCUGGGAAUGGCGAUUGGGACUGCAAGGCUCGAGUGCGGCAGAGGGGGGUGGAAUUCCACGUGUAGCAGUGAAAUGCGUAGAUAUGUGGAGGAACAUCAAUGGCGAAGGCAGCCCCCUGGGUCGACAC
Molecule: ribosomal RNA, 716 nt
Filed under: uncultured bacterium
Lineage: Bacteria
Description: bacterial SSU rRNA
Rfam family: Bacterial small subunit ribosomal RNA
Source: RNAcentral